This 253-nucleotide ribosomal RNA is filed under the name uncultured bacterium. RNAcentral's name for it is "partial 16S ribosomal RNA". It matches the Rfam family "Bacterial small subunit ribosomal RNA", at positions 524 to 776 of the family's 1533-position model. The record is from RNAcentral.
UACAGAGGGUGCGAGCGUUGUCCGGAAUCACUGGGCGUAAAGGGCGCGUAGGUGGCAACCCAAGUCGAUGGUGAAAGCUCGCCGCUCAACGGCGAGUCGGCCACUGAUACUGGGUUGCUGGAGCACUGUAGAGGCAGAUGGAAUUCCGGGUGUAGCGGUGGAAUGCGUAGAGAUCCGGAAGAACACCGGUGGCGAAGGCGGUCUGCUGGGCAGUUGCUGACACUGAGGCGCGACAGCGUGGGGAGCAAACAGG